GAGCCUGGCCAAGCUGCACGGGGCAUCGGCGGGCGCGCCCCACUCGGCCCAGACGCAUCCCCACCACCAUCACCACCCUCACCACCACCACCACCACCACCCCCCGCAGCCGCCGUCGCCGCUUCUGCUGCUGCCCCCGCAGCCCGACGAGCAGGGUUCCGAGCGCCACCACCCGGCCCCGCCGCCGCCGCCGCCCCCGCGGCCCCCUCUGGCCCCGCACCCGCACCACCGAGGCCUUCUGUCUCCCGGGGGAACCAGCUGCAGCUACCCCAGCGAGGACAGCUCCGAGGACGAGGACGACGAGGAAGAAGAGCAGGAGGUGGACGUGGAGGGCCACAAGCCCCCCGAGGGCGAGGAAGAGGAGGAAGGUCGAGACCCUGACGACGACGAGGAAGAGGACGAGGAGACGGAGGUCCUACUCGGCGACCCCUUAGUCGGGGGCGGCCGGUUCCUGCAGGGCCGAGGGCCGUCGGAGAAGGGGAGCAGCCGGGACCGCGCGCCGGCCGUCGCGGGCGCGUUCCCGCUCGGCCUGAACUCCUCCAGGCUGCUGCAGGAAGACGGGAAACUCGGGGACCCCGGCUCGGACCUGCCCCCGCCCCCGCCGCCGCCCCUGGCCCCCCAGAAGGCGAGUGGCGGCGGCAGCAGCAGCCCGGGCAGCCCAGUUCACCAUCCAUCACUGGAGGAGCAGCCCUCCUACAAAGAUAGUCAGAAAACUAAGGAAAAUAACCAAGUAAUUGUAUCUACAAAGGAUGACAACAGCUUUUCAGAUAAGAACAAGGAGCAUAGCUUUUUCAUCACAGACUCUGAUGCUUCUGGAGGAGAUUUUUGGAGAGAAAGAUCAGGUGAACAUACACAAGAAACCAACUCACCUCAUUCACUGAAAAAGGAUGUAGAAAAUAUGGGGAAAGAAGAACUUCAGAAGGUUUUAUUUGAACAAAUAGAUUUACGGAGACGACUGGAACAAGAAUUCCAGGUGUUAAAAGGAAACACGUCUUUCCCAGUAUUCAAUAAUUUUCAGGAUCAGAUGAAAAGGGAGCUAGCCUACCGAGAAGAAAUGGUGCAACAGUUACAAAUUAUCCCCUAUGCAGCAAGCUUGAUCAGGAAAGAAAAGCUGGGCGCCCAUCUCAGCAAAAGCUAAAAGCCUAUGAAGGAUGAGAAGCUGCAUUCGAGAAGGAAUGUAAACCAAGUCCCAGAGUCUGGAAACAGGUUCUCAGUGACCAC
This 1221-nucleotide long non-coding RNA is filed under the name Pan paniscus (pygmy chimpanzee). RNAcentral describes it as "lncRNA (ENSPPAG00000045391.1)". The record is from RNAcentral. Lineage: Eukaryota; Metazoa; Chordata; Mammalia; Primates; Hominidae.